UUUAAGUUUAGAAAUUUCAAAAGAAAUGCAAAUUCUCGAACUCAUUUGCCGUGCAAAAAAUCUACGCACACUCUUUCUUCAUUCUCGUGAAAGGGACUAUGAGUUUAACAUGCACCUAUCCGACUCAUGCCAUCAUUUUAGAUGUUUACGAACAUUAAUUUUGGAUUGCCCAUUUACGAUUUUUUCAGAUGCAGUGGAAAAUUUGAUACAUUUAAGGUGUCUCCAUAUGUAUGAGAAUGUUGAAAUAGAAGAAUUGCCUGAAAUCUUAUGUAAUCUUUGUAAUUUGCAAACUUUGAAUAUUGAUAAUGGUGAAUAUUUCAAGAAAUUACCACAGGGGAUGGGUAAACUAAUUAAUUUAAGACAGCUUAGAUUUAAUACAAAUGAUAGCUGGUUCAAACUAAAAUUUCCAAAUGGGAUUGGGAAAUUGACUUGUCUUAGGACAUUAAGUGAUUUCAACAGAGGUGGUAAGGAUGAUAAAGAAGGAUGUAAUCUUGGAGAAUUAAAACAUUUGAACUAACUUCGAGGGAGCUUUAAAAUGCAUGGGUUGGGAAAUGUGGUAGAUGUAGGGGAGGCCCAGAAUGCACAGUUGAAGAAGAAGAUACAUCUCCACGAUUUGGAACUAGAUUUUCUCGAUGAAGGUCAAUUCGAAGAGAAAGGGGAAGAGAGUAGAAGAAGAAUGAAGAGUGAUUUAGCAGUUUUGAAUGCCUUAGAACCACCAUCACACUUGAAAAAAUUAUCAAUUAAGUGGGUCAUGAGCACCGCAGUGAAUACCAAUUUGAAAAGUCUUGAUAUCAAUUGGUGCAUUCAGCUAGAGUGUUUGCCACCUUUGGGGAAGUUGCCGUUACUCAAAGAAUUAAAUAUACGGCGUGUAGAAAAUGUGAAAAAGUGGGGAGAUGAAUUUUUAGGAAUAGAAUCCGAAAACAAAAGCAAGAAAGACGACUGCCACAUCAUAAAUAUAUUCCCAAACCUGAGAGUUCUCGAAAUUAUUUAUUUGCCGAGCUGGGAAGAAUGGAUUGGCAUGGGUGGAAAGAGGUUAGAAGUGGAAGAAGAAAAAGAUAGUGGUUUGGUUUCAGAUCCAAUAAUAAAAAUAAUGCCACUGCUUGAAAGCCUGACAAUUCAGGGCUGCCACAAAUUAAAGUGUCUGCCAGACUUCUUGCGUACUACUCCAUUACAGAAAUUAUUCAUUCAUUACUGUCCAAUUCUCAAGCAACGUUAUGAAAGAGAGAUAGGAGAUUACUGGCCCAUUAUUUCUCACAUCCCAACAAUCGACAUACGGUAAAGUAACGAUCAACCCCAGUUUGAUUCAAACAAUCAGUCAGAGUAUGAGGAAGAGGGGGAUUCGUGAGGGGGAUUUGUGAAGCGAACGGAUACUUAUUAUGAGAUUGGGUAGUAAGAGCAAGCAAGGGGUCAUGAAUUUUAGCUACAAGUAGAGUUUUUUUGAAUGAUGAUACUGAUAGAGAAGGGGAAUAUAAAAUUGAAGCUUGGGGUGACCUUAAAUCUCCCUUUUGCAACAUUAUAUUUACUCUUACGUUAGAGCCAAAAGGGUCAAUUCCUCCCUAGCCUCACAGUGCAGUGAAAUCAAUUUAAAUGGUGGAAAAGCUUGAUGCAAAGAUGAUCUUGACAUCAUAACGACUACAUCCAGUGCCUGCAACACUGUUCAUGUUGAGCUGAAAAUUAUAUCAACUUUGGGAUUUGUGCUUUAAUGAUGAUAGUGUUUGACACAAAUUUGAAAUUUGAUGUCGAAAGAAUACAUGAUCCAAAUGGUGUUGACUAAAGAGGCCUUUGUGCUCACAUGAGGAGGAUAUGGAACUUUUAUGCUUGAAAUACAUUUUCUCUGACACCAAAGGUCUGUGUAAUUAAAGGAGGCGGAACCCAGGAAAUGGCUUCUAUGAUUUUUGAGGAAAUUAGGAGGGGUGGGCUUACGGUUGAGGUGGUUCAAUGAACUAUUCAUGCAGCCAAUGUUCAAUCAUAAAGAUUUAGAGUGGUUUCAGUGACAUCAAGUUAAUGGGCCACUACAGUGGAGUAGCAGAAGGGCAGGAAGGACUUCAGUGGUUUGUAAGGAAUUUUGGAGGACGACCCUCAAAGUUGUUGCGGCUGGACUUCCUAAAAUCAUUGACCAUUUCACAAUAAUUGGGACUCUGAUCAAAGACCAGUCCUCCGGUCUUUACAAAUAGCAUAAGACUAACAAAUGAACACAAACCACUUACAAUGGAUGAGAAAGGAAGAUCAAGAUCGAUCUCAAAGAGAAAACCCCAUCUAGGUGGUCACAGAUUUUGCUGUAGAAAGAAAUAAGCAUGAACCUGAAACUACAAGUCAUAAAGGAAAGUGGGGAUAGCAAGGCUGACCAGUUAUCAGACAAUGACUCUCAAAAUAUGAUCAACUUGGAAUAAGAUUAGGGAAAAGCAUUCGGUUGUUGAUUGGAGGGCUUUGGUUUGGUUUUUGUUUCGGCUGCUAUUUGCAAGCAAUGCCUUCAUUUCUUGUCUAACUGUCACGGAUAAACUUCCCACUCCUGACAUGGCUGGUAAAUGAGGAUACAAUUCUGAUCUCAUUUGUGUGUUCUGUAGGAGAUAUCUAGAGUCCAGGCAAGCAGUUGAAUGACUGGAAUUCUCUCUUAUGCUGAAAUAUUCAUUCCUUGAAAGUCAUAACUAUUGUUUGCAAGUUAGCUUGGGCUGCCUUCAUUUUUCAGAUAUGACUUCAAGGAAAUGCUAGAGUUUGCAAGGUGUGCAAAAUGGUAAUUUUUGGCUGAUGGGGUAUAUCAGUUUCUGUUUUAGAGUAAAAGUGUUGUUGUUUGUGUGUUUUGCAGCAGUUUGCUGUUUGUGUUGCGUUCUUGUUUAGAGUAGCCAUGUUGGUUGUUUCUAUGUUCUGUAGUAAUUUGUUGUUUGUGUUGUGUCAAGGUUGAACUAUUUUGUGAUAUCUUUGCUUGAUUUGUCUUGAAUUUAUCUCAUUCUUAAAAAAAAAAAAAUUGUUUGUUCUACUAGUCGCCCAAAAAAAUUUAUUCUGACUAUUCUUUGGAUUGCUUAGAUGAUAUGUGUCAUCCAUCCCUUCUUUAAUGGUUAUAAUUUUAAAUUCCUUUUUGCAUGUCAUAUCUCCUUGAAAUAGAGAUUUGACUUUUAAGAUUGAUAUUGAUUUUGGAGCAUUUUAAUUGUUGUCCAUUGCAAUUUAAGUAUUUUAUAAAUAUGCCAUCAUUAAACUUCUUUCUUUGAAGUUCUAAAUUUCUAAUUGAUGCUUGUAACCUUGAAUAAUCCCUGUGUGGAAGAUGUUGGGCUUCUAAUCCCUUACCUUGCAAAUCUGCCUCCAAGAAAUAAUGCGUGUGCAAAGCCCCACUCAAACUUUAUGCAAGAUUGAUAGAAAGAGCCCAUAGAAACUGAUAAUGGCAAACAGAAUGGCGAGGCCAAUGAAGUUAAAGAUCAGAUCAUCAGGGCUUCUUUAUUUCUCCCAGCUAGAAGAGAUAAUUCACACAUUACAAGGAAUUUUGGAAAGAACUUGGGGAUAUGAACAAAGAUUCUAAAUUGCCAAUGAAGUUAGUCUUUCCUUUUUGCAUAUUGAUAUAGCCAUUGACUAAAUCUUAUCUAAUUGUCCUUCAAGAAUCAAUUUGAUGCUUUAUUUUGUUCUAUAUUUGGCACGUAAUUGUUUAAAAUUUCUUUUGUCUUUCACGGCAUUUAUAUCUUAAUUGUGGUUGUCAUUCUCAACUCAAAUCACAGAUGAGGAUCAUUAAGUUAGUCGCACAAAGUUAUAAGCAUGGAAAAUGGUGUUGUGCACCAUGGUGGUGAGUUUUAUAGUGAUGAUGACUUGCAAAGUUGGGUUUUAGUUUCAUCAUUUGAAGCCUUAAUGUUUCCAUUUCCUCCUCAUCAUCAGGCAAACAUUAAAGUUCAUUGCCCAUUGUGUUUUCUGAGAUUGACCUCAGGCAACCACUUAUUUGCAAAGUACCUGAAAUUGAACCACAUGAAACUUUGGGGUUUUGGUACUGCAUAUCUCAUCAAACACAGUUAAAACCUAUUGGAGAAGCACAGUUUUAUAUUGGUGAAAAUUGUUAAGCAAGGAUGCACCUCAGAUAGCCAUGUCUUACAUUCUGGUGCAAGAUAUAUUUGAUAAGCUCCAUUGGUUGCAAAGCUUCAUAUGUUAGAAUAACAAAGCUCCCUACCUAUCUGCCCUACAUCAUUUACAUCGUCUAUAAAUUUUUAUGCCAAGUUCAUAGAUGCAACUAUGCUGAGCGAUGAGGAUCCAUUCAGCAUUGUGAAUGUAGCUUGUCAUGGAUGUCAAGAUGAAAUGAGGUCAACAAGUGAUACACAUGAAUUGGAAACUAGGCAAUUGAUGUUAUGCAUAUCUGUGAGAGAAGUGCUAGUGUGUUAAUAAUGUUCCAUCAGCCAGUGUGGUAUAUGAAUGAUUUGGUUCAUCAUUCCUGGGUGAUUCUCCAAGCAAUUUGGGAGGCACUUAGCUAUCUGAUGACACGGGGCAUUCAAUCAGCCAUUAUUCUUUCUAGUACUUGAGCUGUUUGCACGUUAUUAGAGUCGGGUCAUUGUAAGGCUGAGGCAAGCAAGGACUUGUGCGCUGUGACAAAGGAUCUUGGCAGUUUACACCUCCCAUUCAUAGUUCUCACAUUUUUUUCUGGUUCAUCACCGAGCUUUGAAACUGGUCAGCUGCCUAUUGUGAUGCCACAUCUUUUAUACUCAUGGCCCGAAGUGGUAAAGCAGCACAUCAAAAUAUAUAAAGGAAAAAUCUAAUUAGGGACUGUACAUUGUAUUUACAUUUUUUAUGCUAUUCUCAUACUAUUUUCAAAGUAUUUUUCAUGGGUAUCAUUUUCAUAACUAAGAUACAUUAUAUUUAUACAAAAUUUAUCGCAACACGAAGAGUGAUAUUCAUCUACA
Molecule: RNA transcript, 4865 nt
Organism: Quercus lobata
Lineage: Eukaryota; Viridiplantae; Streptophyta; Magnoliopsida; Fagales; Fagaceae
Exons: 15
Source: RefSeq, a predicted model, not a curated record